GACGAACGCUGGCGGCGUGCCUAAUACAUGCAAGUUGAGCGCUGAAGGUUGGUACUUGUACCAACUGGAUGAGCAGCGAACGGGUGAGUAACGCGUGGGGAAUCUGCCUUUGAGCGGGGGACAACAUUUGGAAACGAAUGCUAAUACCGCAUAAAAACUUUAAACACAAGUUUUAAGUUUGAAAGAUGCAAUUGCAUCACUCAAAGAUGAUCCCGCGUUGUAUUAGCUAGUUGGUGAGGUAAAGGCUCACCAAGGCGAUGAUACAUAGCCGACCUGAGAGGGUGAUCGGCCACAUUGGAACUGAGACACGGCCCAAACUCCUACGGGAGGCAGCAGUAGGGAAUCUUCGGCAAUGGACGAAAGUCUGACCGAGCAACGCCGCGUGAGUGAAGAAGGUUGUCGGAUCGUAAAACUCUGUUGGUAGAGAAGAACGUUGGUGAGAGUGGAAAGCUCAUCAAGUGACGGUAACUACCCAGAAAGGGACGGCUAACUACGUG
This 497-nucleotide ribosomal RNA is filed under the name uncultured bacterium. RNAcentral describes it as "partial 16S ribosomal RNA". It matches the Rfam family "Bacterial small subunit ribosomal RNA", at positions 28 to 507 of the family's 1533-position model. The record is from RNAcentral.